This 74-nucleotide transfer RNA is filed under the name Paracoccaceae bacterium. RNAcentral's name for it is "Rhodobacteraceae bacterium (microbial mat metagenome) tRNA-Phe". It matches the Rfam family "tRNA". From Rfam's summary of the family: Transfer RNA (tRNA) molecules are approximately 80 nucleotides in length. Their secondary structure includes four short double-helical elements and three loops (D, anti-codon, and T loops). Further hydrogen bonds mediate the characteristic L-shaped molecular structure. tRNAs have two regions of fundamental functional importance: the anti-codon, which is responsible for specific mRNA codon recognition, and the 3' end, to which the tRNAs corresponding amino acid is attached (by aminoacyl-tRNA synthetases). tRNAs cope with the degeneracy of the genetic code in two manners: having more than one tRNA (with a specific anti-codon) for a particular amino acid; and 'wobble' base-pairing, i.e. permitting non-standard base-pairing at the 3rd anti-codon position. Lineage: Bacteria; Pseudomonadati; Pseudomonadota; Alphaproteobacteria; Rhodobacterales; Paracoccaceae. The record is from RNAcentral.
GCCCGGGUAGCUCAGGGGUAGAGCAGUGGACUGAAAAUCCUCGUGUCGGUGGUUCAAAUCCGCCCCGGGCACCA